Molecule: ribosomal RNA, 460 nt
Filed under: uncultured bacterium
Lineage: Bacteria
Description: partial 16S ribosomal RNA
Rfam family: Bacterial small subunit ribosomal RNA
Source: RNAcentral
CCUACGGGGGGCAGCAGUGAGGAAUAUUGGUCAAUGGACGAGAGUCUGAACCAGCCAAGUCGCGUGCAGGAUGACUGCCCUAUGGGUUGUAAACUUCUUUUAUAAAGGGAUAAAACGAGGCACGUGUGCCUUUUUGCAUGUACUUUAUGAAUAAGGAUCGGCUAACUCCGUGCCAGCAGCCGCGGUAAUACGGAGGAUCCGAGCGUUAUCCGGAUUUAUUGGGUUUAAAGGGCGCGUAGAUGGGUUGUUAAGUCAGUUGUGAAAGUUUGAGGCUCAACCUUAAAAUUGCAAUUGAUACUGGUCGUCUUGAGGACAGUUGAGGUAGGCGGAAUUCGUGGUGUAGCGGUGAAAUGCUUAGAUAUCACGAAGAACCCCGAUUGCGAAGGCAGCUUACUAAACUGUGACUGACAUUGAGGCUCGAAAGUGUGGGUAGCAAACAGGAUUAGAUACCCGUGUAGUC